RNAcentral lists this ribosomal RNA (375 nucleotides) under uncultured eukaryote. RNAcentral describes it as "partial 18S ribosomal RNA". It matches the Rfam family "Eukaryotic small subunit ribosomal RNA", at positions 592 to 976 of the family's 1831-position model. The record is from RNAcentral.
CAAUAGCGUAUAUUUAAGUUGUUGCAGUUAAAAAGCUCGUAGUUGGAUUUCGGUUAAGAGCGACCGGUCCGCCGUUUGGUGUGCACUGGUUGGUUUUAACUUCCUGUAGAGGACGUUCUCUGGGUUUAACGACCUGGACUCGGAGUCUACGUGGUUACUUUGAAAAAAUUAGAGUGUUCAAAGCGGGCUUACGCUUGAAUAUUUCAGCAUGGAAUAACACUAUAGGACUCCUGUCCUAUUUCGUUGGUCUCGGGACGGGAGUAAUGAUUAAGAGGAACAGUUGGGGGCAUUCGUAUUUCAUUGUCAGAGGUGAAAUUCUUGGAUUUAUGAAAGACGAACUUCUGCGAAAGCAUUUGCCAAGGAUGUUUUCAUUAA